RNAcentral lists this ribosomal RNA (271 nucleotides) under uncultured prokaryote. Its description in RNAcentral is "partial 16S ribosomal RNA". It matches the Rfam family "Archaeal small subunit ribosomal RNA", at positions 474 to 743 of the family's 1478-position model. The record is from RNAcentral.
UACCGGCAGUCCAAGUCGCAGCCACGUUUAUUGGGUCUAAAACAUCCGUAGCUUGUUUUAUAAGUCUUUUGUGAAAUCUUGUAUCUUAAGUACAAGGCGAGCAAGAGAUACUAUAAAACUAGAGACUGGGAGACGCAGGAAGUAUAGUUGAGGUAGUGGUAAAAUAUGUUAAUCUCAACCAGACUAACAAUUGGCGAAGGCAUCCUGCGAGAACAGUUCUGACAGUGAGGGAUGAAGGCUAGGGUCGCGAAAUGGAUUAGAUACCCGAGUA